ACAGAGCUGUGCUGUGUGCUCUCAACCUGACAGAGCUCAAAUCUGUCCAUUUGAGGAUGGGUUGCUACUGUGUGGAACCUGAACCUGACCUGACAGAUCUUUGACGUGGUAUGAGUAUAUCUGUGUUUUGAUGACAGGAAGAGGCUCCACCUGCAGUCCAGGAGAGGCUGAAACACAUCAUCCAUCUUUAUAAACAGAUCAUCUGAUGCUAACAGGAGUUAACCUCAUCAUCUGUGCAGCAUGCCUUCAGACUCUGCAUUAGAGAUAUGCCUCUAACAGCAGC
Molecule: long non-coding RNA, 283 nt
Organism: Notolabrus celidotus (New Zealand spotty)
Lineage: Eukaryota; Metazoa; Chordata; Actinopteri; Labriformes; Labridae
Exons: 3
Source: RefSeq, a predicted model, not a curated record